UGGGCCAAAAUAAUUAAACAGAAAGCAUUACUUCUGGAGCAGCACUUGUAUAACGUAGUUUUGUUACUUACAUACGUGAAUUUUUAGUAUUUCUAUUCAAACCAAAAAAGAGCAACAAUUCAUAAAACUAAUGGGAAGUUUGACCUUGUUUCUGUGAAACUAAUCGAUCAGUUUGGUUCAGUGGCAGUGGUUACAAUUCUCAGUGAGUUCUCAAGGUUCUCACUGGAGUCCUUUUAUGAAGCUUCAUUCUUUUCUGUGCUUUGUCGUUGACAGCAGUUGUUCACAAAUGUACUACUGCCAAAAGCGAUGGCGUGAAUAAGGCAUGACUGUGAAGUGAGUGGUAUUUCUCUUCUAAAAAUCUGGUAAAGAGAUAUGAUCAGGUUUUUGAGUUGACUAUUUGAUUAUAAAUGUGUACAUUCCAUUUGAAAAAUAUAUUUGUGUCAAAUGAAAAUGGAGUUGCAAAUUUACAAAGACGUUUUUUGCUAUCUUGAAACUGAUUCUCAAAUUCCUCAUCUAAACAGAAAUCAAGGCUGCAUGUCUUUUGCUGCUAGGAGGACUGUUUAUCCAAUGUAUCAAAACGCAUAAAAUUAUUUGCCAUAAUUUGAGUUAGCACUGUUCUCUCCAUGCCCUGGUUUCAGCUCGCUGUUAAUAGUGCAUUAAUGUCUGGUUGCUGCUGAGCAAUGGGUGUAUGGCUGAGACUGGGUCAGGCUGCUUGGUGGGGCAGAGCUGCUGCUGUGGUGGUGGGGGGUGGCUGCCUUGCAGGCUCUGCUGGGCUGCAUAAGGGCUGCAGGUUAGACGCGCCUGUUAUGAUCCCUGCUUAGCCUGAGGAUGUGAGUAUUGAUCAAAACAAGUCUAGAAUAACAGAUUUUACUGGAUGGUGGACUGUGGUUUACUUCUAAGGGGUUCACAGAAGAUAAGUAGAAACAGCCUUUAAAUUGUUUAUGAAGGCCUAAAUUUCUUUAAGGCUGUUCAGAAUCAGCACACUGGAAAAAACAUGAAAUUCCUGACCUGUUAUUAGGUGGAAAACACAGCAUUUUCCAUGGUUCUUUCUUAAUAUUUGAGGAAAAAGUAGUACGUUGAGGCCACUGUUGCAGGUUGUUGCAGAAAGCCCAGUACAGAGCCUUCUGCUGUGUACAACUCCUGGAUUUGAACAAGAAAUAGAAGAAAUCAUGGUUUUAUCUUGGGGUUGAAUCAGAUCAAAUGGCUUUGCAAGGGGCUGUGUGUCUGUCCCUCUCCUUACAGAUGAAAAUGAGGCACGAAGUGGUGAAGUAACUUGCCCAAAAAUUUUUUAGGCUAUUAGCGGGGCUAGGAAUAGAACCUAAGGGACAGAAGUCUUUAUCUGAGGCUUUCUCCACAGCGUCACAUCACAGCUUUCAGAAGCAUAAGCUUCUACCUAUCAUUUCUAACUAUUUCAUAAGCUGUUAAUGUAUACCUGGUCUAAAAAUACUGUUUUGAAGACUUGGGACUGACCCACUGGUGACUAUUUGGAUUUAAACCUAGAGGGUUGUUUCUCAUAAGGUUGGAAGAAGUAAGCCUUUCAGAAAUAGGGGUGUCUACAGCUGGUUGAAUUUACUUGCUCUGCAGCUGAAUGCUGUUUUGUUGCAGUUGCUUUGAGUCCUGGUUCUGCUAUGUCUUCCUGAUCUUACAUUAAAUGGUUGUUAAAACUCUCUGCAUUUGCCUGGAAUCUCUGUCUCCUGAAAUCCAGCUUGAUUUUUGGCUGACCUUAAUGGGUUGCCUUGUGGGUGAAUGUCUGUGCUUGGUGUUGUUUGUUGCUGUACCAACUUUGAUUCUGCAGAAUGAGUAAAGACCUCGGGAAGAAGGAAAAAUGUUUUAUUUUCUGGAAGUACACACUUGGUUAUUUAACAUCCUAAUUUUGAUUCUGCCCUAAUAAAAAGUUCUUGGAAGUUGGAAUGAUGUCUGAGGUUUUCUUUGUUUUUUAAUAAAAAGUAACUGCUGAAGAAUCCCGGUGGAAGAGUGUUCUGAGUUUCAAAGCACCAUCAGUGCUCUUCUGGUCAAGUUUCAAAACCAUAUCCAUGGGUGCGUACAAACAUCACCUGCCUCAGGAUUUUCUUGGGAGUGUUUUCAGGUUUUGGUGGCAUUGUAGAGCAUCCAAAAGAUGCUUCUUAAAUGGUAUUCAGCACCUCAGUGCUAACUCUGAGGUUUAUGAAGGGAUGGUGCCUACUUCAGUCCUGAACUCAAGAACUGAAAGUGUGGAAGUGAAAUAGUCUCACCAUCAGCAUGUGAAUACAGUGGUAAAAUGUUUUUGCUUCAGAUACUGAAAGCGAAGCAGGUUGGGUGUGGAAUCUAUUAGUAUUAUCUGCCUACUUUACCAUGUUGGUAACUUUUUGUUCACUGGUGGAAACAAGUUCUUCAUACUAACGAUGAAUACAAAGACUCUUACUAUCUGUUAGACCACUGCUAUAGAUCUCCUGCUCCAAAACUGUACCCUGUUCUUCGAGGGGCUUAUUUAAAUGUGGAAGGGUUGUGAGAUUAAUUGCAGUAAGCCUGCCAACAACAGAUCAGAAAAAGUAAAUAAGUAUGACGCAUCACAUGCAUAUGUUGUGUCAGUUUGUUCCAUCUCUGGGUUGGGCAGCUGGAGGAGAGGAGUUGGGUCCUUGUUCUUCUUAGCCUCAGUUGUGUUUAUCAGUCAUGGCUUAUCUUAUGAGCAAGGAAAAAGGUCUAGUUAACAUUGUGCUUUAUGGAAGAUAUUUCCCCGGAAAGGAUUUUUGAAUGUUCUGAAGAGUAUUUUGCAGUUAGGGUUUAAUUUGUUGUUGCCAUUAAAAAGCAAGCCUGCUCUUCACAGGUGUUGUUCUGCUGCCCCUACCCAGUCCCCUGUUCUGUCAACUAGUAUUUAUGCAACAGCAUGGUUAAGCAGAUCAAAGAGGUAAUUUAGUUGAAAAAUAAUCUAGCUAGAAGUGCAGCUAGUUUUCAUGUACAUGUAUAACUGUUAGUGCAGGGAUGUGGCAGGAAAACAUGGCUCUUGUGUGGUGAAAAGUUUGGGUUGCACACAGUUGCUGUGAUCGUGGAAUUGCAUGCCAUUAGCCCCUUCCUGAACCUUUGUGUGAAAGCCAUGUUUCAUUAGGUCUGUUUUUCUGGGAUGAUCUUGGAUGUGGCUGCUCUCCUGUAGGAUUUCUUUGGGCUGCUGAUGAAGCACUGUAUUGUGUUUCUUGGCUAAUCAAUCCGUUUCAGCAAGUGGAAGCAUGUACUUAAAGAUAACCAGCUUACAAUGGCUCAAAGCAUAUGGGCUUAAUGACUUUAAACAGUUUUGUUUCCAUUUGUUGCCACGUGGUGGUGAUGUUGGUUGUUCCCUCCUACUGCUGAGGGUAAGUGGCAGAUAAUAUUGGCAAAGGAUGUCCAAUAGAUAGAUCAGUGCCUCCAGAUGACUCUAACCGGUGCCACGUGGUUUUGGCAAUUACCAAUAUGGUGAGGAAAUUCAUGCUCCUGUUUGUACUCUUAUUCACAUGUAAGUAUUCCAGUACUUCAACAGGGUGAGCUAAUCAACAGGAAGUAUUUUGCAACAGACAACACUGACAAAAUACAAUCAUUUUUCAGGGUAACGUGCUACAGGUAUCUCCUUUUAAAUUCUUGCUUAUCAAAGUCCAUAACCCUUUGUUUCACAGAAGACAUAAAAUCAGGAAUUCACCGAAGUUAACCAGUAAAGGAUAACUGGCACUGUGUAUGGAAGGGACUGUUCUCUCCUUCAGUUGCCUAUGACUAAUGCCUUGGGCUCUCAUCAGUUUUAUGCUGACAAGCAGAGAUGGGGAAGAGAUCAUCCAUUCAGAACGUGUGUUUAAAUGAGAUCGAUAGCACUGUAAAAUCCUCUCUGCUGACUACUGAUUAUAAGUGUCAGUGUGAUCUAGGCCUUGAAGAAAUUUAUGUGAUAUAGGUGACAGCAUAGUCGCUGUAAGGACAGCUUCCAAAACAGUUACAUCUAAAGAUCUAACUUUGUUUAAUCAAUUCUGACUUUCCUGCACUUGUAUGUGUCCAGUACUACAAACCCAGGUCUGCUGAGGCACUGAAGAUCUUAUAUUUUCUAAUAGUUCGCUGUUUGUUUCUGUUCUUCUUUACAGCAAAGCAGAAGAGGAAAGUGGAAAACUGAGAUUCUCAUGUAUUUUGAAGUCUCAUGUGGGUAAGAUGGGAAGGGAAACUUAAAUAAGACAAUAUUAGUCAAACAUUCUAAAGAUUUUUCCAAUUAGGAGUUGUAUAAAAGGAAACUGUGUGUGUGUUUGUGUGUACACGUUAUUGUCAGUCACUAUAAAUGCAUGAUUGAGAUGCUGUUCUAGAAGUUCAUUAUGUUUGUUUUGUAAUCUCCAUUUCUUAAUAGCUUAUCUUUGUCUUUUACCAUCAAACAGAUGAUCUUAUUUCUGUUUGUGAUUAAGUUAAUGACUUUGUCUUGUAAAUACUGCUUGGCAAAAACAGGUAAAUCUAAAACCAAACUUAUAUCAAAAUAUGCAUCUGUAAGUAGCAUUACUUCUGUUGAAGGUGUGAGUUUUAUUUUUUUCCCUAGUGAUAUAUGAUGCAGAAAACAAAUUGGGAAUGAGAAAAAGCAUCAAAUCAAACAUUCUUUAUAUAAACUCUUUUUCAACAUGAUGUGAGUUGCAGUGGCUGAUUUUUGGGCAGCAUUGGACUGUGGAACAUGCAGAGCAGUUUUGCAUAACUCUGAAGAUGUUUGGGUGGAUACUGGAGGUCUAGCCAUCACAGUUAUGUAGUUUCCACAGCCUGCAUGAGUGUCUUGACAGCUGACUGUGUUCUGUUGCAAGACAGUAUAUUGGACUAUGUAUACAUGCCUUCAGUGUUUCAAAACUCAGCCUGUGAGGUGUGGGAGAAAGAAGCUAGCAGUCGCAUUUAUGAGUCAAAUUCUUUGGAGGUGUGCAAGAGUAGUUGGUGAAGGAACAUAAAAAGAUGAGGAUUGGGGAAUGGAAUGUUUGGUGUUGGUUUUAAUUAGAAUUGUCCUGUUCAUCAUUCAUAUUGUGAGAUAAAAGGGAAAAAUAUCCUCUCUGCACAUGCAGAGAAAAAAUAUUUCUAUUACAGUUAGUGAGCAAUUCUAAUUGGGCUGCCAAAUAUAAAUUUGUCUAAAACUCAUACAGAUUCAGUAUUAAAGCUAGCAGUUUUCUCAGAAGAAAAAAAUAAAAAUUAAAAAAAAAAAAAAACCACCGAACUAAUAAAGCCCAGUCUGUAACCUUUUCUCUCAUGAAUAUAGGUCGUCUUGUGGCUUUUUCCUUCCAAACAGUAUAAAGAUGGGAUUCAUAUUGUGGUUUGGAAGAGAGCAUGUUUUAAACCAGAGGAGGAAGUCAAUGGAUGACCUUUAGAGCUUAGGGAAGAAGGUUUUGGAGGGGCUUUCUUCCAGCCAAGGAGUAACCAGCUGCUCGACCAUGCUGUUGUCUUCUCGCAGGUGUGGUGUGGUGACAUGCCAGGAGAGAUUCGAUGUCCUGAAACAGAAGCCUCAAAAGUGAUGUGGGCCAAUUCAGAGGCAGUCAUUCUGUACUAUGUAGUCCUGGGCCACUGGAGGAAAAGAAGAAAAUGGCUUUGGGCAAAGUCUCCCUACUUGUAGCAGAAGUCCAAGAGGUAGUCAUCUCUGCAGAAAUAACUUUGGAUUUGACUGAAGCCCCUGGAGAAGUAUGACCUUGCUGUUCUCCCUUGCUAAGAGAUACAGCUUUCCUGUCUCCUUGGCCAAGCAAGAUACCAGCAGAGGCUUGAAUCCUGCAAGAUCCUACGGCAGGCUGGAUUGCUUUUAGCUCACUAAAAGCUGUGUUACACUAUUAUAACACAAGCUUCAGGUCUGCGUGUGCAUAGUGUUAUUUCAUUUUUGGGAUAUAUCCUUUGUAACACCUUUCAGGCUUGAGGAAGAGGCUUUUAACUGUUUCCUGCUGGCUGGCGAAGGAAAGGACAAUUCCCAGCCCAUUCCUUGGCUGUGGACUCAAUCAAAUCUGGCUGUUGGAACCAGGGCUCUGCAGAUGUGGGAACCCCUAAAGGAGAGAUUAAAAUGUGGCUCUACUUCUAAUGCAGAUUGUAGGACAUCAGAUAACUAUCUGGGCAUGCAGGCACGCAAUGCCUGGAUCAAAGGAAGAGCUACAAACCAAAUCUGAUUGCUUUAUUGAUACCUUUUUUGGUUCUUAAAAGUGCUAAUUUUUAGUAGAACCAGAAGUAUUUCUGAUACGUCAGAACAGGCAUUUGAAUAAACUUGCAAAUUAUACAACACAGUAGAAAGAGAAGCUCAUUUCUGCUUUCCCCGUUGCCUAGGUGAUUAAUGUGAGAUAAAUACAGUUCUUCCUAUGUCUGCUCUUAAAUCUUUAAGACAAAAAUUUUUUGACUUGGUGUUGCAAGAUGUGAAGGUGUUUCAAUGGCUAGAUUUCACAAGAGUUGGACUCUCCUCCCUUCCCAUUCCUUGUGUCACGUUUCUGCUCUGCAGGUCACCUUAUAGGUGCUAUUUAAUGCCCUCCAAACCCCUCAUAGGCUGGGAGCUGGGGUGGCUGAGUUCAGUGGUGUGUGUGCUUAUGCAUAAAGCUCACACUAGUUAAAAAUGCCAAGUAAAAUAUAAUUAUAUGUAGUACCAUUAACACCCUGUAAGCAUUAGAGCAGCAAAAGGUGGUUGGUCAUGAGAAAAAACAGAUUGCUGGGCUAGAAAUCAGGAUACCAACUGCUGCCUCUGGCUUUGGCACCGACUGGUGUAACCCUGAGCUGGUCAACUCAUUUCAAUUUCUCCCUUUGUUUUUCCUCUGUCAUGUCUAUUUAAAUAGAAUGUCCUUUGUGGCA
Non-coding RNA from Phasianus colchicus (ring-necked pheasant), 6753 nucleotides. The record is from RefSeq and is a predicted model, not a curated record. Lineage: Eukaryota; Metazoa; Chordata; Aves; Galliformes; Phasianidae.